Molecule: long non-coding RNA, 96 nt
Organism: Myotis davidii
Lineage: Eukaryota; Metazoa; Chordata; Mammalia; Chiroptera; Vespertilionidae
Exons: 3
Source: RefSeq, a predicted model, not a curated record
CCCCUCCUUGGCGUGAAUCCACGUGCCCUCUCCCUGGGGUAUGUGGGUCUCCUGGGGACGCAGAAAUAAACCUUUUCCUUUCCUUUCUUUUCUGAU